CAUUCGCACACUCGCUGCUGUCACUAGGGCUUCAUGGGGAAGGGCCAGCGACCGGAGGAAUAACUCGACGGGCACCUCCGAUCCCUUUCGUAGCCAAUGGAGGACAACACUAAUAUACAUAAGACCGGCAAGGGAAAGAAGAAAGCUCUUACUGUCAACAAGGAUAGAUUCAUCAGUAAAAUGUUUCUUGGAGAGGACUCUGUCAUCAUUGUGCUCAGAAAUCCCAAGUAAGAACCAGAGUUGGAAUCUUGGGAUAGCUGUGUGGAUUGCAUGCUUCAUGGUUUUCUUAUGGAAUGAUGUCAUGAACCAGCAGCGUAUUUGAGGUGUGAGUGGAACCUCACUUGAAGCAAGCAAAAUGGAGGAGAAAGGGGUAGUUGAUGCCACCAUUUUGAUAUGGUCAGGUGUGGGUGGAACCUCACUUGAAGCAAGCAAAAUGAAGGAGACAGGGGUAGUUGAUACCACCGUGCACCUCAAAUAUGAGUGUUUAAUCUCCCACCAACCAACCACCCCCC
Musa acuminata AAA Group (dessert banana) is the source of this 512-nucleotide long non-coding RNA. RefSeq lists it as uncharacterized. The transcript has 5 exons. NCBI's taxonomy places the organism in Eukaryota, Viridiplantae, Streptophyta, Magnoliopsida, Zingiberales, Musaceae. The record is from RefSeq and is a predicted model, not a curated record.